RNAcentral lists this ribosomal RNA (791 nucleotides) under uncultured Methanomicrobiaceae archaeon. Its description in RNAcentral is "bacterial SSU rRNA". It matches the Rfam family "Archaeal small subunit ribosomal RNA", at positions 85 to 878 of the family's 1478-position model. Lineage: Archaea; Methanobacteriati; Methanobacteriota; Methanomicrobia; Methanomicrobiales; Methanomicrobiaceae. The record is from RNAcentral.
ACGGCUCAGUAACACGUGGACAACCUACCCUGAGGAGAGGGAUAACCCCGGAAAACUGGGGAUAAUACCUCAUAGACCAGGGAUGCUGGAAUGCUUCCUGGUCCAAAGGUCCGCCGCCUCAGGAUGGGUCUGCGGCCGAUUAGGUUGUUGUUGGGGUAACGGCCCAACAAGCCUUUGAUCGGUACGGGUUGUGGGAGCAAGAGCCCGGAGAUGGAUUCUGAGACACGAAUCCAGGCCCUACGGGGCGCAGCAGGCGCGAAAACUUUACAAUGCGAGAAAUCGUGAUAAGGGAACCCCGAGUGCCCGUAAAUCCGGGCUGUCCGCCAGUGUAAAUAACUGGUGAAGAAAGGGCCGGGCAAGACCGGUGCCAGCCGCCGCGGUAAUACCGGCGGCUCGAGUGGUGGCCGCUAUUACUGGGCUUAAGGCGUUCGUAGCUGGGCUGUUAAGUCCCCUGGGAAAUCCACCGGCUCAACCGAUGGGCGUUCAGGGGAUACUGGCAGCCUAGGGACCGGGAGAGGUGAGGGGUACUCCAGGGGUAGGAGUGAAAUCCUGUAAUCCUUGGGGGACCACCUGUGGCGAAGGCGUCUCACUAGAACGGCUCCGACAGUGAGGAACGAAAGCUGGGGGAGCAAACCGGAUUAGAUACCCGGGGUAGUCCCAGCUGUAAACGAUGCGCGUUAGGUGUAUCGGUGACCACGAGUCACCGGAGGUGCCGAAGAGAAUCGUGAAACGUGCCGCCUUGAGAAGUACGGUCGGCAAGGCUGAAACUAUAGGGAAUUGGGCGGGGGGGA